CUACGUGCCAGCAGCCGCGGUAAUACGGAAGGUCCAGGCGUUAUCCGGAUUUAUUGGGUUUAAAGGGAGCGUAGGCCGGAGAUUAAGUGUGUUGUGAAAUGUAGACGCUCAACGUCUGAAUUGCAGCGCAUACUGGUUUCCUUGAGUACGCACAACGUUGGCGGAAUUCGUCGUGUAGCGGUGAAAUGCUUAGAUAUGACGAAGAACUCCGAUUGCGAAGGCAGCUGACGGGAGCGCAACUGACGCUUAAGCUCGAAGGUGCGGGUAUCAAACAGGAUUAGAUACCCUGGUAGUCCGCACAGUAAACGAUGGAUGCCCGCUGUUGGUACCUGGUAUCAGCGGCUAAGCGAAAGCAUUAAGCAUCCCACCUGGGGAGUACGCCGGCAACGGUGAAACUCAAAGGAAUUGACGGGGGCCCGCACAAGCGGAGGAACAUGUGGUUUAAUUCGAUGAUACGCGAGGAACCUUACCCGGGAUUGAA
RNAcentral lists this ribosomal RNA (481 nucleotides) under uncultured bacterium. RNAcentral's name for it is "bacterial SSU rRNA". It matches the Rfam family "Bacterial small subunit ribosomal RNA", at positions 501 to 985 of the family's 1533-position model. The record is from RNAcentral.